UACGUAGGCAGCAAGCGUUGUUCGGAGUUACUGGGCGUAAAGCGUGCGUAGGUGGUUCGUUAAGUCCGUUGUGAAAGCCCCGAGCUCAACUUGGGAAUUGCAGUGGAUACUGGCGAGCUAGAGUGCGGUAGAGGAAGGUGGAAUUCCCGGUGUAGCGGUGAAAUGCGUAGAGAUCGGGAGGAACACCAGUGGCGAAGGCGGCCUUCUGGACCAGCACUGACACUCAAGCACGAAAGCGUGGGGAGCAAACAGG
This 253-nucleotide ribosomal RNA is filed under the name uncultured bacterium. RNAcentral describes it as "partial 16S ribosomal RNA". It matches the Rfam family "Bacterial small subunit ribosomal RNA", at positions 524 to 776 of the family's 1533-position model. The record is from RNAcentral.